RNAcentral lists this transfer RNA (68 nucleotides) under Cavia porcellus (domestic guinea pig). It matches the Rfam family "tRNA". From Rfam's summary of the family: Transfer RNA (tRNA) molecules are approximately 80 nucleotides in length. Their secondary structure includes four short double-helical elements and three loops (D, anti-codon, and T loops). Further hydrogen bonds mediate the characteristic L-shaped molecular structure. tRNAs have two regions of fundamental functional importance: the anti-codon, which is responsible for specific mRNA codon recognition, and the 3' end, to which the tRNAs corresponding amino acid is attached (by aminoacyl-tRNA synthetases). tRNAs cope with the degeneracy of the genetic code in two manners: having more than one tRNA (with a specific anti-codon) for a particular amino acid; and 'wobble' base-pairing, i.e. permitting non-standard base-pairing at the 3rd anti-codon position. The record is from Rfam by way of RNAcentral. Lineage: Eukaryota; Metazoa; Chordata; Mammalia; Rodentia; Caviidae.
GGGGAUAUAGCUCAGUGGUAGAGCUCUUGCUUGUCACAUAGGAGGCUCUGGGCUCAAUCCCCAGUCCA